Long non-coding RNA from Eurytemora carolleeae, 1087 nucleotides. RefSeq lists it as uncharacterized. NCBI's taxonomy places the organism in Eukaryota, Metazoa, Arthropoda, Copepoda, Calanoida, Temoridae. The transcript has 2 exons. The record is from RefSeq and is a predicted model, not a curated record.
AUCAUAAAUAAAUAUAUUUCUGUGGCCAAAGGAGACGAAAUAAAAAGACUGACCCUGCAGCUAGAAUCAAGGAACUGACAGUGCGAGGUAUUUUAAAAAAACUGGGUCUGCUUAACCUCCUCCCGACCUUUCAGCAUCACGAGGUGGAUGUAGAGGUCCUCCUUGGGGUCGAUGACGAAGAUCUGUUAGAGAUAGGAGUUGAGAGUUCAACAGAUAGAUCUAAGAUUAUUCAAUAUGUCAAACGAUACAAAGCAUGAAAAUUUUAUUAUUUACAAGUUACUGUAUAAAGUUACUAUAUAAAGUUACUAUAUAAAGUUACUAUAUAAAGUUACUAUAUAAAGUUACUAUAUUAAGUUACUGUAUAAAGUUACUAUAUAAAGUUACUUUAUAAAGGGGCUGUAGACACAAUUUCAAGUGACCCUCUGUUUAAAGAGUGUCAUAUUAUUGUUUCUAUUUAAAAUAAUUGAAUUUUGUUCAUAUUCUCUAUAGCAUGAAUGCGCAAGCAACCACAAUUGCAAAAAAAAAAUUUUCAGCUAAAAAAAAUAAGGAUAUUUCAUUUAUCCCUGGUCGAAUAGGCUUAAACGUAAUUCAUUCUCGAUAUAGACAAUUCAAAUCUUGUUAAGAAAUCUAAAUUAAGAUAAUUCUUCAUUUGGUGGCAUACAAACCGACCUAUUGGUGGCAUACAAACCGACCUAUUUUUCAGGUCUGUUCCUGUAAUAUAGAUUUUAAGCUUCUAUCCCUUUUAAGUCGGCUUUACCAACAGAUUCCUUUCCUUUCGUCAAAAAAUAGUGAACUAAUAUGUUUUCUCUCUGAAAGAACCAGGAAUAAUGAUUUAAUUUGUUUAAAUAUACAAUAAGCGUAAAUUCAAGUGACGGUACAAUUGAAAUUACGCUUACAGUCCCUUUAAUAAAUCCUGAACAAACGUAUUAAAAGCGCUUGAUGAAUGGUUCCAGGUUCCAGACUAGAUUAAACUAUCAAGAAUAAAUAAAUUAAAACUAAAAUUAUCUUUCUGUGAUUAUAUCAGUUAUAUCGUAUAGUUUAUAAAAUUAUAUUUAUAAAUGUUCAGAUCGAAUCUUUAUUUUUUUCA